The sequence is a small nucleolar RNA, 87 nucleotides long. It matches the Rfam family "Small nucleolar RNA snR54". From Rfam's summary of the family: snR54 is a member of the C/D class of snoRNA which contain the C (UGAUGA) and D (CUGA) box motifs. Most of the members of the box C/D family function in directing site-specific 2'-O-methylation of substrate RNAs.
UAACGUGAUGAUUGAUCUUUAAAUUAAUAACUUUCGUUCUACUGAGUAUUGAUCAAACGAUCUUGUAGAAACCUUUUUGAUCUGAUG